ACCAAUUCUGGGGGAGAAAAAGGUUCCUCUUGGUAUAAUGGCUUGGGCGCUAGAUCCAAAUUGUGGCUAUCCUGAUCUUUGGCUUCAUUUUCCAUGCCAUUUGAUCGUGGAAACACCUCAUACAUUU
Telopea speciosissima is the source of this 127-nucleotide small nucleolar RNA. The record is from RefSeq and is a predicted model, not a curated record. Lineage: Eukaryota; Viridiplantae; Streptophyta; Magnoliopsida; Proteales; Proteaceae.